Molecule: ribosomal RNA, 484 nt
Filed under: uncultured bacterium
Lineage: Bacteria
Description: partial 16S ribosomal RNA
Rfam family: Bacterial small subunit ribosomal RNA
Source: RNAcentral
AUUGAACGCUGGCGGCAGGCCUAACACAUGCAAGUCGAGCGGAUGAAGGGAGCUUGCUCCUGGAUUCAGCGGCGGACGGGUGAGUAAUGCCUAGGAAUCUGCCUGGUAGUGGGGGAUAACGUCCGGAAACGGGCGCUAAUACCGCAUACGUCCUGAGGGAGAAAGUGGGGGAUCUUCGGACCUCACGCUAUCAGAUGAGCCUAGGUCGGAUUAGCUAGUUGGUGGGGUAAAGGCCUACCAAGGCGACGAUCCGUAACUGGUCUGAGAGGAUGAUCAGUCAAACGGGGAGUGAGAAGCGAUAAUGAGUCCAACGGUGUGCCAGAGAGGGGAAUAUUGGACAGAAGGCGAAAGGAUGAUAAAGCCAUGCCGCUUGUGUGAAGAAGGUCUUCGGAUUGUAAUGCACUUUAAGUCGUUACGAAGAGCAGUAACUCAAUACCUUGCUGUUCUGACGUUCCCGGCAGAAUAAGCAACGGCUAACUUCAUC